AGAGUUUGAUCCUGGCUCAGAACGAACGCUGGCGGCAUGCCUAACACAUGCAAGUCGAACGCCUGUAGCAAUACAGGAGUGGCGCACGGGUGAGUAACGCGUGGGAACCUGCCCUGGAGUGGGGGAUAACCCGGCGAAAGCCGGGCUAAUACCGCAUACGACCUGAGGGUGAAAGAUUUAUCGCUCUAGGAGGGGCCCGCGUCGGAUUAGCUAGUUGGUGGGGUAACGGCCUACCAAGGCAACGAUCCGUAGCUGGUCUGAGAGGAUGAUCAGCCACACUGGGACUGAGACACGGCCCAGACUCCUACGGGAGGCAGCAGUGGGGAAUAUUGGACAAUGGGCGCAAGCCUGAUCCAGCAAUGCCGCGUGAGUGAUGAAGGCCUUAGGGUUGUAAAGCUCUUUCGGCGGGGACGAUGAUGACGGUACCCGCAGAAGAAGCCCCGGCUAACUUCGUGCCAGCAGCCGCGGUAAUACGAAGGGGGCGAGCGUUGUUCGGAAUUACUGGGCGUAAAGGGCGCGCAGGCGGCUCUGAAAGUCAGAUGUGAAAGCCCCGGGCUUAACCUGGGAAUUGCAUUUGAUACUCUGGAGCUUGAGUACGGGAGAGGAGAGUGGAAUUCCCAGUGUAGAGGUGAAAUUCGUAGAUAUUGGGAAGAACACCAGUGGCGAAGGCGGCUCUCUGGACCGUAACUGCGCUGAGGCGCGAAAGCGUGGGGAGCAAACAGGAUUAGAUACCCUAGUAGUCC
Molecule: ribosomal RNA, 743 nt
Filed under: uncultured bacterium
Lineage: Bacteria
Description: bacterial SSU rRNA
Rfam family: Bacterial small subunit ribosomal RNA
Source: RNAcentral